UGCCUAGAUGAUUUUAGUGCUUGCACUAAAUGAAACUAGAUACAAGCGAGCGGCGGACGGGUGAGUAACACGUGGGUAACCUGCCCAAGAGACUGGGAUAACACCUGGAAACAGAUGCUAAUACCGGAUAACAACACUAGACGCAUGUCUAGAGUUUGAAAGAUGGUUCUGCUAUCACUCUUGGAUGGACCUGCGGUGCAUUAGCUAGUUGGUAAGGUAACGGCUUACCAAGGCAAUGAUGCAUAGCCGAGUUGAGAGACUGAUCGGCCACAUUGGGACUGAGACACGGCCCAAACUCCUACGGGAGGCAGCAGUAGGGAAUCUUCCACAAUGGACGAAAGUCUGAUGGAGCAACGCCGCGUGAGUGAAGAAGGGUUUCGGCUCGUAAAGCUCUGUUGGUAGUGAAGAAAGAUAGAGGUAGUAACUGGCCUUUAUUUGACGGUAAUUACUUAGAAAGUCACGGCUAACUACGUGCCAGCAGCCGCGGUAAUACGUAGGUGGCAAGCGUUGUCCGGAUUUAUUGGGCGUAAAGCGAGUGCAGGCGGUUCAAUAAGUCUGAUGUGAAAGCCUUCGGCUCAACCGGAGAAUUGCAUCAGAAACUGUUGAACUUGAGUGCAGAAGAGGAGAGUGGAACUCCAUGUGUU
RNAcentral lists this ribosomal RNA (644 nucleotides) under Lactobacillaceae bacterium. RNAcentral's name for it is "bacterial SSU rRNA". It matches the Rfam family "Bacterial small subunit ribosomal RNA", at positions 60 to 677 of the family's 1533-position model. Lineage: Bacteria; Bacillati; Bacillota; Bacilli; Lactobacillales; Lactobacillaceae. The record is from RNAcentral.